Molecule: ribosomal RNA, 229 nt
Filed under: uncultured bacterium
Lineage: Bacteria
Description: partial 16S ribosomal RNA
Rfam family: Bacterial small subunit ribosomal RNA
Source: RNAcentral
UCCGUAGGCGGAUUGAUAAGUCAGAGGUGAAAUCCCACAGCUUAACUGUGGAACUGCCUUUGAAACUGUUAGUCUUGAGUUAUAUGGAAGUAGAUAGAAUGUGUAGUGUAGCGGUGAAAUGCAUAGAGAUUACACAGAAUACCGAUUGCGAAGGCAGUCUACUACGUAUAUACUGACGCUAAUGGACGAAGGCGUGGGGAGCGAACAGGAUUAGAUACCCUGGUAGUCC